This 395-nucleotide ribosomal RNA is filed under the name Balgus schnusei. RNAcentral's name for it is "partial 16S ribosomal RNA". Lineage: Eukaryota; Metazoa; Arthropoda; Insecta; Coleoptera; Elateridae. The record is from RNAcentral.
UUUUGAUUAUAAUUUAAGGUUUGACCUGCUCAAUGAUGUUUUAAAUUGCCGCGGUAUUUUGACCGUGCAAAGGUAGCAUAAUAAUUAGUUUUUUGAUUGAAAGCUGGAAUGAAUGGUUGGACGAGAAAUUAACUGUCUCAUUUUUAAUUUUUUAUUGAAUUUAAUUUUUUAGUUAGAAGGCUAAGAUUUUGUUUAAAGACGAGAAGACCCUUUAGAGUUUAAUUUUUAAAUAGUAUAUUUGUUUAGGAAUUUUUUUAAAUGUGUUAUUUAAAAAUUUGGUUGGGGUGACUUGAAGAAUUGUAGAACUCUUUUUUAUUUAAUCAGUGAUUUUUGAAUGUAUUAUCUAGGUUUCUUAAAUUUAAAAUAAAUUACCUAAGGGAUAACAGCGUAAUUUU